UGGUUCUGGCAUCGAUGAAGAACGCAGCGAAAUGCGAUAAGUAAUGCGAAUUGCAGAAUUUCCGUGAGUCAUCGAAUCUUUGAACGCACAUUGCGCCCAUUGGUAUUCCGAUGGGCAUGCCUGUUCGAGCGUCAUUAUCAACCCUCAAGCCCGGCUUGGUGUUGGACCUAGGCCCCGCGAGGGGUCGGUCCCAAAGACAAUGACGGCGUCUGUAGGACCCUCGGAGCAACGAGCUUUUUCCAAAGCACGCCCCGAGUUGCAAGGACCUUCAGCCCGGCCUCAACCUCAUUUUAUAACCAGGUUGACCUCGGAUCAGGUAGGGAUACCCGCUGA
RNAcentral lists this unclassified non-coding RNA (333 nucleotides) under uncultured fungus. Its description in RNAcentral is "partial contains 5.8S ribosomal RNA and internal transcribed spacer 2". The stretch from base 1 to 134 matches the Rfam family "5.8S ribosomal RNA", at positions 22 to 154 of the family's 154-position model. Lineage: Eukaryota; Fungi. The record is from RNAcentral.